ACGUACACUCCUACGGGAGGCAGCAGUGGGGAAUAUUGCACAAUGGGCGCAAGCCUGAUGCAGCCAUGCCGCGUGUAUGAAGAAGGCCUUCGGGUUGUAAAGUACUUUCAGCGGGGAGGAAGGCGAUAAGGUUAAUAACCUUGUCGAUUGACGUUACCCGCAGAAGAAGCACCGGCUAACUCCGUGCCAGCAGCCGCGGUAAUACGGAGGGUGCAAGCGUUAAUCGGAAUUACUGGGCGUAAAGCGCACGCAGGCGGUCUGUCAAGUCGGAUGUGAAAUCCCCGGGCUCAACCUGGGAACUGCAUUCGAAACUGGCAGGCUAUAGUCUUGUAGAGGGGGGUAGAAUUCCAGGUGUAGCGGUGAAAUGCGUAGAGAUCUGGAGGAAUACCGGUGGCGAAGGCGGCCCCCUGGACAAAGACUGACGCUCAGGUGCGAAAGCGUGGGGAGCAAACAGGAGUAGAUACCCGAGUAGUCCCA
This 477-nucleotide ribosomal RNA is filed under the name uncultured organism. Its description in RNAcentral is "partial 16S ribosomal RNA". It matches the Rfam family "Bacterial small subunit ribosomal RNA", at positions 329 to 797 of the family's 1533-position model. The record is from RNAcentral.